UUAAGCGACUAAGCGUACACGGUGGAUGCCCUGGCAGUCAGAGGCGAUGAAGGACGUGCUAAUCUGCGAUAAGCGUCGGUAAGGUGAUAUGAACCGUUAUAACCGGCGAUUUCCGAAUGGGGAAACCCAGUGUGAUUCGUCACACUAUCAUUAACUGAAUCCAUAGGUUAAUGAGGCGAACCGGGGGAACUGAAACAUCUAAGUACCCCGAGGAAAAGAAAUCAACCGAGAUUCCCCCAGUAGCGGCGAGCGAACGGGGAGCAGCCCAGAGCCUGAAUCAGUGUGUGUGUUAGUGGAAGCGUCUGGAAAGGCGCGCGAUACAGGGUGACAGCCCCGUACACAAAAAUGCACAUGCUGUGAGCUCGAUGAGUAGGGCGGGACACGUGGUAUCCUGUCUGAAUAUGGGGGGACCAUCCUCCAAGGCUAAAUACUCCUGACUGACCGAUAGUGAACCAGUACCGUGAGGGAAAGGCGAAAAGAACCCCGGCGAGGGGAGUGAAAAAGAACCUGAAACCGUGUACGUACAAGCAGUGGGAGCCUCUUUUAUGGGGUGACUGCGUACCUUUUGUAUAAUGGGUCAGCGACUUAUAUUCUGUAGCAAGGUUAACCGAAUAGGGGAGCCGAAGGGAAACCGAGUCUUAACUGGGCGUUAAGUUGCAGGGUAUAGACCCGAAACCCGGUGAUCUAGCCAUGGGCAGGUUGAAGGUUGGGUAACACUAACUGGAGGACCGAACCGACUAAUGUUGAAAAAUUAGCGGAUGACUUGUGGCUGGGGGUGAAAGGCCAAUCAAACCGGGAGAUAGCUGGUUCUCCCCGAAAGCUAUUUAGGUAGCGCCUCGUGAAUUCAUCUCCGGGGGUAGAGCACUGUUUCGGCAAGGGGGUCAUCCCGACUUACCAACCCGAUGCAAACUGCGAAUACCGGAGAAUGUUAUCACGGGAGACACACGGCGGGUGCUAACGUCCGUCGUGAAGAGGGAAACAACCCAGACCGCCAGCUAAGGUCCCAAAGUCAUGGUUAAGUGGGAAACGAUGUGGGAAGGCCCAGACAGCCAGGAUGUUGGCUUAGAAGCAGCCAUCAUUUAAAGAAAGCGUAAUAGCUCACUGGUCGAGUCGGCCUGCGCGGAAGAUGUAACGGGGCUAAACCAUGCACCGAAGCUGCGGCAGCGACGCUGAUGCGUUGUUGGGUAGGGGAGCGUUCUGUAAGCCUGUGAAGGUGUGCUGUGAGGCAUGCUGGAGGUAUCAGAAGUGCGAAUGCUGACAUAAGUAACGAUAAAGCGGGUGAAAAGCCCGCUCGCCGGAAGACCAAGGGUUCCUGUCCAACGUUAAUCGGGGCAGGGUGAGUCGACCCCUAAGGCGAGGCCGAAAGGCGUAGUCGAUGGGAAACAGGUUAAUAUUCCUGUACUUGGUGUUACUGCGAAGGGGGGACGGAGAAGGCUAUGUUGGCCGGGCGACGGUUGUCCCGGUUUAAGCGUGUAGGCUGGUUUUCCAGGCAAAUCCGGAAAAUCAAGGCUGAGGCGUGAUGACGAGGCACUACGGUGCUGAAGCAACAAAUGCCCUGCUUCCAGGAAAAGCCUCUAAGCAUCAGGUAACAUCAAAUCGUACCCCAAACCGACACAGGUGGUCAGGUAGAGAAUACCAAGGCGCUUGAGAGAACUCGGGUGAAGGAACUAGGCAAAAUGGUGCCGUAACUUCGGGAGAAGGCACGCUGAUAUGUAGGUGAAGUCCCUUGCGGAUGGAGCUGAAAUCAGUCGAAGAUACCAGCUGGCUGCAACUGUUUAUUAAAAACACAGCACUGUGCAAACACGAAAGUGGACGUAUACGGUGUGACGCCUGCCCGGUGCCGGAAGGUUAAUUGAUGGGGUCAGCGCAAGCGAAGCUCUUGAUCGAAGCCCCGGUAAACGGCGGCCGUAACUAUAACGGUCCUAAGGUAGCGAAAUUCCUUGUCGGGUAAGUUCCGACCUGCACGAAUGGCGUAAUGAUGGCCAGGCUGUCUCCACCCGAGACUCAGUGAAAUUGAACUCGCUGUGAAGAUGCAGUGUACCCGCGGCAAGACGGAAAGACCCCGUGAACCUUUACUAUAGCUUGACACUGAACAUUGAGCCUUGAUGUGUAGGAUAGGUGGGAGGCUUUGAAGUGUGGACGCCAGUCUGCAUGGAGCCGACCUUGAAAUACCACCCUUUAAUGUUUGAUGUUCUAACGUGGACCCGUAAUCCGGGUUGCGGACAGUGUCUGGUGGGUAGUUUGACUGGGGCGGUCUCCUCCUAAAGAGUAACGGAGGAGCACGAAGGUUGGCUAAUCCUGGUCGGACAUCAGGAGGUUAGUGCAAUGGCAUAAGCCAGCUUGACUGCGAGCGUGACGGCGCGAGCAGGUGCGAAAGCAGGUCAUAGUGAUCCGGUGGUUCUGAAUGGAAGGGCCAUCGCUCAACGGAUAAAAGGUACUCCGGGGAUAACAGGCUGAUACCGCCCAAGAGUUCAUAUCGACGGCGGUGUUUGGCACCUCGAUGUCGGCUCAUCACAUCCUGGGGCUGAAGUAGGUCCCAAGGGUAUGGCUGUUCGCCAUUUAAAGUGGUACGCGAGCUGGGUUUAGAACGUCGUGAGACAGUUCGGUCCCUAUCUGCCGUGGGCGCUGGAGAACUGAGGGGGGCUGCUCCUAGUACGAGAGGACCGGAGUGGACGCAUCACUGGUGUUCGGGUUGUCAUGCCAAUGGCACUGCCCGGUAGCUAAAUGCGGAAGAGAUAAGUGCUGAAAGCAUCUAAGCACGAAACUUGCCCCGAGAUGAGUUCUCCCUGACUCCUUGAGAGUCCUGAAGGAACGUUGAAGACGACGACGUUGAUAGGCCGGGUGUGUAAGCGCAGCGAUGCGUUGAGCUAACCGGUACUAAUGAACCGUGAGGCUUAACCUU
This 2902-nucleotide ribosomal RNA is filed under the name Escherichia coli. Its description in RNAcentral is "bacterial LSU rRNA". It matches the Rfam family "Bacterial large subunit ribosomal RNA". Lineage: Bacteria; Pseudomonadati; Pseudomonadota; Gammaproteobacteria; Enterobacterales; Enterobacteriaceae. The record is from RNAcentral.